RNAcentral lists this ribosomal RNA (515 nucleotides) under uncultured bacterium. RNAcentral describes it as "partial 16S ribosomal RNA". It matches the Rfam family "Bacterial small subunit ribosomal RNA", at positions 28 to 523 of the family's 1533-position model. The record is from RNAcentral.
GACGAACGCUGGCGGCGUGCCUAAUACAUGCAAGUCGAGCGGACUUUCAAGAAGCUUGCUUUUUGAAAGUUAGCGGCGGACGGGUGAGUAACACGUGGGCAACCUGCCUGUAAGACGGGGAUAACUCCGGGAAACCGGGGCUAAUACCGGAUAAUAUCUUUCUUCGCAUGAAGGAAGGUUGAAAGGCGGCGCAAGCUGCCGCUUGCAGAUGGUCCCGGGGCGCGUUAGCUAGUUGGUGAGGUAACGGCUCACCAAGGCGACGAUGCGUAGCCGACCUGAGAGGGUGAUCGGCCACACUGGGACUGAGGCACGGCCCAGACUCCUACGGGAGGCAGCAGUAGGGAAUCUUCCGCAAUGGACGAAAGUCUGACGGAGCAACGCCGCGUGAGCGAAGAAGGUCUUCGGAUCGUAAAGCUCUGUUGUCAGGGAAGAACAAGUACCGUUCGAAUAGGGCGGUACCUUGACGGUACCUGACCAGAAAGCCACGGCUAACUACGUGCCAGCCGCCGCAGUAA